RNAcentral lists this non-coding RNA (116 nucleotides) under Clostridium oryzae. RNAcentral describes it as "FMN sequence". It matches the Rfam family "FMN riboswitch aptamer (RFN element)". Rfam says of the family: The RFN element is a highly conserved domain that is found frequently in the 5'-untranslated regions of prokaryotic mRNAs that encode for flavin mononucleotide (FMN) biosynthesis and transport proteins. Lineage: Bacteria; Bacillati; Bacillota; Clostridia; Eubacteriales; Clostridiaceae. The record is from Rfam by way of RNAcentral.
AGUUAUCUUCAGGGCAGGGUGUGAGUCCCUACCGGCGGUAAAGCCCGCGAGCCAUAAUUGGCAGAUUCGGUUAGAUUCCGAAGCCGACAGUAUAGUCUGGAUGGAAGAAGGUAUAU